Molecule: unclassified non-coding RNA, 272 nt
Filed under: Hevea brasiliensis (rubber tree)
Lineage: Eukaryota; Viridiplantae; Streptophyta; Magnoliopsida; Malpighiales; Euphorbiaceae
Source: RNAcentral
UGAGGAGCUUGAUGCUGCUAGUUUGCGAGAGCAUGAAGAAUUCACAAAAGUUAAGAACAUUGCUACAAUAGAACUUGGAAGAUAUGAGAUUGAAACGUGGUACUUCUCCCCAUUUCCUCCAGAAUACAAUGACUGUUCGAAACUGUUCUUUUGUGAGUUUUGUCUCAAUUUCAUGAAGCGCAAAGAACAGCUUCAGAGGCACAUGAGAAAAUGCGAUCUUAAGCAUCCCCCAGGUGAUGAGAUCUACAGAAGUGGUACAUUGUCAAUGUUUG